CGCUGGCGGCGUGCCUAAUACAUGCAAGUCGAAACGGCUUUUCUAUGGAAGCUUGCUUCCACUGAAAAGAUAGUGGCGAACGGGUGAGUAACACUGGGGUAACCUGCCCAUAAGAGGGGGGAUAACAUCCGGAAACGGGUGCUAAUACCGCAUAGUUUUCUUGAUCGCAUGAUCGGGAAAGGAAAGACGGCCUUUGUGCUGUCGCUUAUGGAUGGACCCGCGGCGUAUUAGUUAGUUGGUGAGGUAACGGCUCACCAAGACGAUGAUACGUAGCCGACCUGAGAGGGUGAUCGGCCACAUUGGGACUGAGACACGGCCCAAACUCCUACGGGAGGCAGCAGUAGGGAAUCUUCCGCAAUGGACGAAAGUCUGACGGAGCAACGCCGCGUGAGUGAAGAAAAGGGUUUUCGGAUCGUAAAACUCUGUUGUCAGAGAAGAACAAGUUGGAGAGUAACUGCUCCAGCCUUGACGGUAUCUGACCAGAAAGCCACGGCUAACUACGUGCCAGCAGCGGC
RNAcentral lists this ribosomal RNA (515 nucleotides) under uncultured bacterium. RNAcentral's name for it is "bacterial SSU rRNA". It matches the Rfam family "Bacterial small subunit ribosomal RNA", at positions 34 to 518 of the family's 1533-position model. The record is from RNAcentral.